GUCUGAAGAUGGUAGAGGCAGCAAAGAGACCUGCAUGGAUAAUGAUGGGGCCAUUGUAAGUAUUCCUUUUGAUGGUGUUGAAACUGAGCCCGAGCCAUUUGAUGCUAGUAAGAGACUGAGCACCGGAAUUGAUGAGAAGUUUGCAAUGAAGAGAUUUGGUAUUGGAUUGCAUCGAAGUAACAAGGCUGAUUCAUCAAAUAAGAGUAGCAAAGUCCCAAGCCCUCUCAAUGUUGAUUUGGAUCAAAAUUCCCCAUCUACCGAUAGAGUUAUUGAGAAAGA
This 279-nucleotide long non-coding RNA is filed under the name Linum usitatissimum (flax). Its description in RNAcentral is "long non-coding RNA (LUSI_LNC000783)". The record is from RNAcentral. Lineage: Eukaryota; Viridiplantae; Streptophyta; Magnoliopsida; Malpighiales; Linaceae.